GCAGUCGUAGCCGAGUGGUUAAGGCAAUGUACUAGAAAUCCAUUGGGGUCUCUCCGCACAGAGUCGAAUCCUGUCGACUGCG
Molecule: non-coding RNA, 82 nt
Organism: Ixodes scapularis (black-legged tick)
Lineage: Eukaryota; Metazoa; Arthropoda; Arachnida; Ixodida; Ixodidae
Source: Rfam